UUCACAGAGAAAGGAUUAUUUGAGGACACCAAGAGGUGACCAUCAGCAAGCCCAGGAGAGAGGCCUCAGAAGAAACCAGACCUGCUGAUUCCUUGAUCUUGAACUUCUAGCCUCCGGAACUAUCCAACUUGAAUGCUUCCUGAUUAAAUAUAUACAGGAGUGAUUUCAGAGGAAUUUAAGUUUUGGAUCAUUCUUUUGAGAAAGAAAGAAAAGUACCCUUUUAAAAGAGACUUUCUUCUGCCACUGCCACUCCUGAGACAACAUGACCAAUCUCUCCCCUUCCUCCUCCUCAGCGUACUUUCAACAUAAAGACGACGAGGAUAAAGGCAUUUAUGAUGAACUACUUCCACAUAAUGAAUAAUUGAACAAAGGAGAGAAUUGUGAGAGUGAGAAAAAGUGAGACAAAGAAGAAAAACUAUAAAUCAGCAAAAUACAGUGCCAAGAGCUCUGGACCACAAAUCAGAAGACCUGAGCCCUAAUUCCUUUCCAGUCAUUGGAUUUGUUCGUCGCUUGCCAAAAUAGCAGCGAACUCUCUGUCAAACUGCAACUCAUUUUAUCGGAGCAAAAACUGAACAAAGAACUGCUAUCAUUUCUGAGGUCAGAGGCAGUGCAGCUUGUGUUACAACUCAAAAGAGUAAUACUCUGAAAAAAGAAAAAAAAAGAUGGCGCUGAAAAUAAACAUGUUCAGCAGCCAUUGUGAUUCAACUUACCCAGAUGUGCUUUUCAUGAGAUGGAGAAGGACGGAUGGAAAAGAAAAGCACACAAAUGUUAAUGGAUACAGUUCAAUCCAAAGAAAACCAUGGAAUAAAACAAGAGCAUUAUUUAAGAUGUGAGAAAGCUCAGGUAUGAGAAAGACAUGGUGCCAUUUUGUAUUUCAUCAUGACACACAUACUCACUGCGUCGAAAAGCAUAGUCAGGCUGAGG
This 924-nucleotide long non-coding RNA is filed under the name Homo sapiens (human). RNAcentral's name for it is "PPFIA2 antisense RNA 1". The record is from RNAcentral. Lineage: Eukaryota; Metazoa; Chordata; Mammalia; Primates; Hominidae.